AACUAAGAAAAAGCAAGCACAAUAAUGUCUCUUUAGAUUUAACUCAAGUUUACUACCUGGUGGUUUGGAAAUAAAUAAAAUGCAAUUGUUUCUAUAGUAUAAAUGUGAAAAUUUAACAUGGAGAUCGACACAUCAAAAACAUAUUUGGAAUACGAAAAUUAGGAGUCAACAAGGGUGAAAAGAAAAAGGGUGUAGGGAGACUUUUGAUCAAACACCUUUAAAAAGAUAGUGCCUUCACAUCUGAUAUGAAUUUGUUUCAAAGUUUAUGAUUUUGUCUUCACAAUCCUUGGGCCAAAAUUGUUUAAAUUCUAUUCAAAUUGUUGCAUAUAAUUACUUUGAUUUUCUCACAGAUAAUCCCCAACUUUUCUUUGUUCAUGAGAUAAUGAACUCUUUUAGGCAUUUCAUCGAGCACCUGUUACGCAUCAAUAAAACAUAGGUUAACAACCCCGUUUGUAAUUUACUUCCUUCCAACUGAAUCGUCUUAAAGGCAUACACAACUUCAAAUAUUAACAACUCUAACUUUAAAUCAACGUUUUUAUCAGAAAAUUAAGAUUAAUAUGAUUAUUUUGUAAAUGAAUUCAUUACAAUCGAAGCUGAUUUUACAUUAUUUGAAACAGAGGAUGAUUAUGCAUAAUAAAAUAUCUUUUUCAUGUUCAAAUCUAACCUGAUUUUGUACGAUUUAAAUAAAAUAUUGAAGAAUUCAGUAGAAACCAUGGCGAAUUCAAUGUCUUUUAGGUUUUCUUCGUGUUUGCUUGAUGAACGAAGGAGAUGACGACGAACAUCGAGUCUUGCCUUGUUAGUCCAAUAUGGUUUCUGGUUAACCAAGC
This 827-nucleotide long non-coding RNA is filed under the name Lactuca sativa (garden lettuce). Its description in RNAcentral is "long non-coding RNA (LSAT_LNC008041)". Lineage: Eukaryota; Viridiplantae; Streptophyta; Magnoliopsida; Asterales; Asteraceae. The record is from RNAcentral.